This 254-nucleotide ribosomal RNA is filed under the name uncultured bacterium. RNAcentral's name for it is "partial 16S ribosomal RNA". It matches the Rfam family "Bacterial small subunit ribosomal RNA", at positions 524 to 776 of the family's 1533-position model. The record is from RNAcentral.
CACGUAGGGGACGAGCGUUGUCCGGAUUCAUUGGGCGUAAAGAGCUCGUAGGCGGCUCAGUAAGUCGGGUGUGAAACCUCCAGGCUCAACCUGGAGACGCCACCCGAUACUGCUGUGGCUAGAGUCCAGUAGGGGAGCGUGGAAUUCCUGGUGUAGCGGUGAAAUGCGCAGAUAUCAGGAGGAACACCUAUGGCGAAGGCAGCUCGCUGGGACGUUACUGACGCUGAGACGCGAAAGCGUGGGGAGCAAACAGG